RNAcentral lists this transfer RNA (88 nucleotides) under Phoenicibacter congonensis. RNAcentral describes it as "tRNA-Ser". It matches the Rfam family "tRNA". From Rfam's summary of the family: Transfer RNA (tRNA) molecules are approximately 80 nucleotides in length. Their secondary structure includes four short double-helical elements and three loops (D, anti-codon, and T loops). Further hydrogen bonds mediate the characteristic L-shaped molecular structure. tRNAs have two regions of fundamental functional importance: the anti-codon, which is responsible for specific mRNA codon recognition, and the 3' end, to which the tRNAs corresponding amino acid is attached (by aminoacyl-tRNA synthetases). tRNAs cope with the degeneracy of the genetic code in two manners: having more than one tRNA (with a specific anti-codon) for a particular amino acid; and 'wobble' base-pairing, i.e. permitting non-standard base-pairing at the 3rd anti-codon position. The record is from RNAcentral. Lineage: Bacteria; Bacillati; Actinomycetota; Coriobacteriia; Eggerthellales; Eggerthellaceae.
GGAGGAGUGGCCGAGCGGUUGAAGGCGGCAGUCUUGAAAACUGUUGUGCGGCAACGUACCGUGGGUUCGAAUCCUACCUCCUCCGCCA